AACUAAGUGGCGAUCAGUCAGGUUGCAACUGUUCGAUCGAGAUCGCGAACCUUGAACGAUAUUAACGUUCAAGAUGCAGGUAGAUUAAGGUAGAUUAAGGUAGAUUAAGGUCUGUUAAGCUGGUGUUUAGUAGGUUUGUUUGAACUGUUUAUUUGGUAUAAACGGAAGAUAUACCGAAGGCACAGAAAUCCUAGCUACCAAUGUUGAUCCAGCGAAGCCUCGGAGAAAUUACAAUCACGGCUUAACGAAAUAGCAGUCUUGUUGAGAACAUGGAAAAUUGAAGUUAAUGUGGCCAAGUCACUACGACACAUACAUUUUCGUACGAAACAUAGAGGCAGCAAUUCGGGACAAUUAGUAAGGAACGAGGGCAGAUGUAAAUUGGAUAUCGUGAGUGACCGAUCAAUUAGGAAUGGAUUACGGAACGCUAAAAGAGGAAGCAAUAGCGCAACUAAAAUGUGGACGAAGAACGUAUUAAAUUAUUUAACCGUGUCUCGGAAAUGACCACUAGAUUAUCGAACACCUAAAAUAAAAAUCUAAAAUGAAACGAAUUAGGAUAAGAUCGAACAGAAUAAAAUCAAUAUAGUAGGAUACAAUCGUGGAAUAAAGACUACAGGGAAAGUUCGUAAGUCAUAUUGAUGCAUACGUAUUAAAUA
RNAcentral lists this unclassified non-coding RNA (653 nucleotides) under Bombus terrestris (buff-tailed bumblebee). Its description in RNAcentral is "misc RNA ENSBTSG00005027033.1". Lineage: Eukaryota; Metazoa; Arthropoda; Insecta; Hymenoptera; Apidae. The record is from RNAcentral.